GACGAACGCUGGCGGCGCGCCUAACACACGCAAGUCGAACGAGCGAGAGGAGGUUUACUUUCUCAAGCGAGUGGCGAACGGGUGAGUAACGCGUGAGGAACCUGCCUCAAAGAGGGGGACAACAGUUGGAAACGACUGCUAAUACCGCAUAAGCCCACGACCCGGCAUCGGGUAGAGGGAAAAGGAGCAAUCCGCUUUGAGAUGGCCUCGCGUCCGAUUAGCUAGUUGGUGAGGUAAUGGCCCACCAAGGCGACGAUCGGUAGCCGGACUGAGAGGUUGAACGGCCACAUUGGGACUGAGACACGGCCCAGACUCCUACGGGAAGCAGCAGUGGGGAAUAUUGCACAAUGGGGGAAACCCUGAUGCAGCGACGCCGCGUGGAGGAAGAAGGUCUUCGGAUUGUAAACUCCUGUUGUUGAGGAAGAUAAUGACGGUACUCAACAAGGAAGUGACGGCUAACUACGUG
This 466-nucleotide ribosomal RNA is filed under the name uncultured bacterium. Its description in RNAcentral is "partial 16S ribosomal RNA". It matches the Rfam family "Bacterial small subunit ribosomal RNA", at positions 28 to 507 of the family's 1533-position model. The record is from RNAcentral.